This 1572-nucleotide ribosomal RNA is filed under the name Geobacillus sp. BAB-2740. RNAcentral's name for it is "bacterial SSU rRNA". It matches the Rfam family "Bacterial small subunit ribosomal RNA". The record is from RNAcentral. Lineage: Bacteria; Bacillati; Bacillota; Bacilli; Caryophanales; Anoxybacillaceae.
CUGCUCAGACGACGCUGCGGCGUGCCUAAUACAUGCAAGUCGAGCGGACAGAAGGGAGCUUGCUCCCGGAUGUUAGCGGCGGACGGGUGAGUAACACGUGGGUAACCUGCCUGUAAGACUGGGAUAACUCCGGGAAACCGGAGCUAAUACCGGAUAGUUCCUUGAACCGCAUGGUUCAAGGAUGAAAGACGGUUUCGGCUGUCACUUACAGAUGGACCCGCGGCGCAUUAGCUAGUUGGUGAGGUAACGGCUCACCAAGGCGACGAUGCGUAGCCGACCUGAGAGGGUGAUCGGCCACACUGGGACUGAGACACGGCCCAGACUCCUACGGGAGGCAGCAGUAGGGAAUCUUCCGCAAUGGACGAAAGUCUGACGGAGCAACGCCGCGUGAGUGAUGAAGGUUUUCGGAUCGUAAAGCUCUGUUGUUAGGGAAGAACAAGUGCAAGAGUAACUGCUUGCACCUUGACGGUACCUAACCAGAAAGCCACGGCUAACUACGUGCCAGCAGCCGCGGUAAUACGUAGGUGGCAAGCGUUGUCCGGAAUUAUUGGGCGUAAAGGGCUCGCAGGCGGUUUCUUAAGUCUGAUGUGAAAGCCCCCGGCUCAACCGGGGAGGGUCAUUGGAAACUGGGACACUUCCCCCGCAGAAGAGGAGAGUGGAAUUCCACGUGUAGCGGUGAAAUGCGUAGAGAUGUGGAGGAACACCAGUGGCGAAGGCGACUCUCUGGUCUGUAACUGACGCUGAGGAGCGAAAGCGUGGGGAGCGAACAGGAUUAGAUACCCUGGUAGUCCACGCCGUAAACGAUGAGUGCUAAGUGUUAGGGGGUUUCCGCCCCUUAGUGCUGCAGCUAACGCAUUAAGCACUGCGCCUGGGGAGUACGGUCGCAAGACUGAAACUCAAAGGAAUUGACGGGGGCCCGCACAAGCGGUGGAGCAUGUGGUUUAAUGCGAAGCAACGCGAAGAACCUUACCAGGUCUUGACAUCCUCUGACAACCCUAGAGAUAGGGCUUUCCCUUCGGGGACAGAGUGACAGGUGGUGCAUGGUUGUCGUCAGCUCGUGUCGUGAGAUGUUGGGUUAAGUCCCGCAACGAGCGCAACCCUUGAUCUUAGUUGCCAGCAUUCAGUUGGGCACUCUAAGGUGACUGCCGGUGACAAACCGGAGGAAGGUGGGGAUGACGUCAAAUCAUCAUGCCCCUUAUGACCUGGGCUACACACGUGCUACAAUGGACAGAACAAAGGGCUGCGAGACCGCAAGGUUUAGCCAAUCCCACAAAUCUGUUCUCAGUUCGGAUCGCAGUCUGCAACUCGACUGCGUGAAGCUGGAAUCGCUAGUAAUCGCGGAUCAGCAUGCCGCGGUGAAUACGUUCCCGGGCCUUGUACACACCGCCCGUCACACCACGAGAGUUUGCAACACCCGAAGUCGGUGAGGUAACCUUUAUGGAGCCAGCCGCCGAAGGUGGGGCAGAUGAUUGGGGUGAAGUCGUACAAGGGUAACCAAUAGGAGUUUGAUCCUGGCUCAGUAAGUCGUAACAAGGUAACCAUAGAGUUUGAUCCUGGCUCAGUAAGUCGUAA